Molecule: ribosomal RNA, 171 nt
Filed under: Triticum aestivum (bread wheat)
Lineage: Eukaryota; Viridiplantae; Streptophyta; Magnoliopsida; Poales; Poaceae
Description: partial small subunit ribosomal RNA
Source: RNAcentral
AUGAACUUGGAAUUCUUCUACGACAAUGUGGGUAGCCGUGUCAAACCAGGUAGAGACCCUAACCGCAUUAGAGCUUUUCUUCAGACAUACAAGGAGAUUGAAAAUGCAGACACACAUUUUCAACUUCAGGAGGAUCUCAUUGAGCACCAUUGGCAAAGGGCUGGACAGUGA